AUUUAACACAAAAUAAAUGCUCACCCUGGGGACCUCUAUUCCAUAUUGGUGUAAGGAGGGUAGAAAAUUUCCGGGCAACAUGUGCAAAUCAAGGAGAGUAACCUGAAACCAUGGAGGACCAGGAAGUCUGGAAUGGAGCCAGGCAGGGAGACCAAGCUGGAGAUGGGAAGGAAGGGGAAUCACCAGCCCAUGAAAGAACUGACCAUGAAUUGGAAGGAAAAAAUGUAAAUAACAGGCAUUUUUUUAGAAGUAUUUAAUGAUUUUAGUCAGAAAUUAAUUUAUGGGAUAUUGAAUUUCUAUGUCCUGAAAUUUUUGAUGGAUAUAUUUUUCCUCUUAUUUUGCUGUUGUUCUUUUCAGGAGUUUUGCAGAAGUGCUUCCCUGUGUGGCUUCUUUUCCCAUCUUUCUUAUAGAAGAUACACAUGACAUUACCCAGCGCUUCAGCCAGGGUAACUGUGGAGUACAGCUGUGCUGCUGUGCGCGACCUACACUCCAGCCAUUGCUAUCACUCUUCUGUCUUGUGAGACUGAAAAGCUAUGUUCCCUAAAUAACUACUGUCCCCUUGCCCAGCCCCCAGCGACCACCAUCCCACUGUCCGUCUCCAUGAUUUUUGUAAAUUUCUUCUUAGAAGUCAAACCCUGCAGUAUUUCUCGGGACUGGCUUAUUUCACGUAACCUCAUGUUUUCAUGGUUCAUCCAUCUUGAAGCAAAUGUCAGAGUUUUCUUGCUUUUUAAGGAUUAAUACUAUGCAGCUCAGGGGUUAAGUGCCCCUGAGUUCAAGCCCCAGUACCAAAAAAAUUUAAAAAAAUCAAUAUUAUUCCACGUCUGUGCCUCACGUUUUGCCUGUGUCCUCUUCUGUCCGUGGACACCGGGUGCUUCCACACCUUAGCUGGCGUGAACAAUUUGUGGUGAAGCUGGCACAAACGUGUCUUCAGGACCCUGCCUUCCAUUCUUGUGUGCGUGUGCCUGGGAGGGGGUUGCUGACUUUUAAGGAACAGUGGGCUCCCCAUCCAUAGGGGAGGGCAUUUCCAGCCCCUCGGUGGACGCCUGACCCGCUGAUGGUACCGAACUCUGUGCGUGGUAUGCUUUCCCAUACAGCACAUACAUACCUGUGAUAAAACCUAAUUUAUAAAUUGGAUACAGUAAGCAAUUAAUAACAACUAGCACUAAGAACAAUUGUAACAAUGGACCACAAUAACAAUUUAUUUAAAUUCAUGAAUUAUUUGUGGAGUUUUCCAUUCCAUAUUUUCAGACCAUGGUUGGCCAGGGGUAACUGAAACUGCAGCAAAUGAACCCGUGGAGAAGGGGAACGACUUCAAUGCUGUUUUUGAUGAGGGUCUCCAUACGGUUUUCACAGUAGCAUUUUGCAUGCCUGCCCAGUGGGCUUGGGGUUCCACUUCUUCACCUCCUCCCAGCACGGGCUGCAUUCUGUUCCUGGGGUUUUGACUGCAGCCAUCCUGGCAGGCCUGGGGCCGUGCCUGUAGCUCUGACCUGCGUCUCCCUAGGGAUCAGUGGCAUAGAUGGCUUUCACGAGCGUAGGGCCACGCACGUGCCUUCUUUGGAGAAAUGUCAGUUCAAGUCCUCUGCACGUCUUUGAAUUGCGCGACAGGCUGUUUGGCUUUGGUGGAGGGUAGGGACUAUUCCCUCCGUUGCAGACCCUCGCGCCCCGUCUGCACAUUCUCUUUAUUCUAUUGAUAGUGGCUUUCGGGGUUUGCGUUUUAUACUAUUGCUUGUGCCCAGGAGUCCAAGAAGUCACCACCGAAUCCAGCGUCACGAAGGCUUCAUCCUGUCUUUAUCUUAGAGGCUCACAGUCUCAGGUCUUGGGUCCAUUGUGAGUCCACGUCUGCAUGGUGUCAGGCAGGGCCCGGCUCAGUCCUUCUGCAUGUGCCUGUCAGCUUUCCCAGCACCUUUGUUGAAGAGUCUGCUCCCUUGGCUGCUCGUGGCACCCUCUAAAGAGCCCUCUGGGCACCCACCAGCGUCUUCCUAGUCUAUUCCUGCCCUUGUUUCCAUCUAUGUCUGUUUUCCCCGUGGACCAGGCUGCUUCGAUUACUGAAGUUUUGUACUAAGUCGUGGCAGCAGAAGUGUGAGUAUUCUAGCUUCAUUCUUUUAAAAAAUUGUUUUGGUUAUUCAGGGUUCCUUGAGAUUCUGAGGGCAUUUGAUGAUGGUUGUUCUGUUUCUGCAGAACAUGCCAUUAGGAUUUUGAUAAUGAUUGUGCUCUCUGUAGAUCACCUUGGGUACCACCUUGAACAAUCCUAAGUUCCACACUGUGGAGAUGUCUCACGUCUUCUUUCAUUUCUUUCAGGAUUAUUUUGUAGCUUUCCUUGCACAAACCUUUCACCUCCUUGAUUAAGUUAAUUCCUAACUAUUCUGUUCUCUGCUGUUAUUAAAACUAGAAUGGGAAAACCCACAGAAUCAUUUCAAACGAGGCAGACAAGUCAUUUGACAAAAUCCAACAGACUUUCAUUAUAAAAAUAUUCAGCAAACUAGGAAGAGAAGAAAACAACCUCAACUACAAUAAAAAUAUACAUGAAAACUCACAAUGAACACCACCCUCCAGGGGGAAAGACGGAGGACGUCCCCAGGGAGCACUUCCUCCCCACUCCUCUUCAGUUCAGAACUGGAAGUGCCAGCCGACUGGGAUCAUCGGUCAGUCCUCUGUCUGUGGAUGGGAUCUUAUGUUUAGAAAACACCAAGGUCCCACAAAAAGACAUUGGACCUUGUCGUGGGACACAGAGUAGGACACACAAAGCAGCGAGUCUGUACGUGGGCCAAGACACCUGAAAAGACAACUCCAGGACCAUUUCUGAUCCACCUCGGAGUGCCUCUAGUUCUCACUUCACUUACUUCAUUUCUCUCCUCCACAGCUUCUUUCUGCUUCUUUGUUCUCGAUGUGCUCAUCUCCAUUUUGUUCGCGCAUCACUUUCUGUGUUUUCUCCACGUCUCCUUCAGUGCACUGAGCAUCCGUGGGACAGUGUGCUGGAUGUCCGUCAGAGUUUCCAGGACACUGUCUGCUGAGGUGCUUUCCCCUUUGCCUGGGUCCCAUGCUCCGUUUCUCUGAUGCUCCGUGGGUGGAUCCUGUGUUCUCUAUGGUGGUGGUUGCUGUUUAAACUGCACAUUUGAGUCUAACCAGACUCUCUCUGUUUCAGGGCUUGUAAUUUUUUUUUUUUUUUCAGUGCUGGAAUCAGACCAGGGCACUGCUCAGCUAGGCAAGCACCACUAAACGUCCUGACCAGGGUUGUAGUUUUUGGUUUUGUUUUGGCUCAUAGUGCUUUGAUUUUGUUUCGUCUUUCGACUGUUGCAGGCUGUCUCUGUGCGGAGGCUCACCUGAGGUACAAACUUAAGGUCUUCUCAGAUCUUUUCUGGGCCUGUGACUUCCCCUGGGUGUGUGUGGUCACGUCAAAGUUUUCCUCAUAUACGAAGCUGUCCUUGGUAUCUGGCGCCCAAAUGAAAAGAGGGGAAAGCGGCAGUGGAGGGAGGGUUCUGUCCUUUAGGUGCUCUGGAAGUCACCUCGCCAAGAGAGGGGCCUGCCCCAGUGUGGAUGGAGUGGCCCCCUCUCAGGAGCAUCACCGUGGUUGGAGCCCAGGUCCCAGUAUUGGGAGGCCAAGGCAUUUCCUAUCCCGGCUCCUGUGGGCCUGAGCGGUCAGCUCCAGGAGCAGGUGUGCAGCUGCGAGCCCAGCCCUGAGAGGAGCCCACGUCCACCCCGACUCACCAUCUUCUGCCCGCCUUCGCCUAGCAGCUGCAUGGCAGCUAGAGAAGACAGCUGGAGACCGAGUGGCGCUCCCGGUGCGUCCUGUUCUGCCCUUUCCCAGCACCCUCGCUAAUGGCCUCUGAGAAGGAUGGUCUGUCUUCCCGUUCACACUGACACUCUGCAAUCCGGGUCUCUAGAUCACGUUCACUCUCUCCUGCCCACGCCCCCUGUGGCCUUGGGUUCCUGUAUUCCCUGUGAAUAUCACGAGACUAUAAAUAAGAGAGUGUACCACGUAUGAGGAUCACAAUAUAUAACACAUGAAUAACACACAAGCGCCAGACGCCAGCGUGUGCGGCUGCUGGGGCCUGAGGGGCUGCGUGCCUGCACCAGUGGCCCUGCAGGAGGCACCGGGUCCUUCAGGUGGUCAUGUUGCUCCCUUGUGCUUUCUGCAUCAGAAUGUGUCGGGAACCCCUGCUUGCCAAGGGAAGGGAAACCCCAGAGGCAAGAGCAAUGAGUUAGACUUGAUUCAUUUCUAUAACAGGGAAAAAUAAUUGUUUAAUGCUUAGCAACAUCUAUGUGCCUUUGUUUGAAAAGAACAAAAACCUUAGGUUUUUUGCAAUAUGAUUCACAUUAAUUCAUACCAUAAAAUUCCCUGUGUAAAAGUGAGUUCACCAUUUAAAAGUGAAUUCGUUUAAACCCAGUCGUUUUCAGUACCUGCACAAAGUUGAGCAACUGUUGCUGUUACUAAUCUUGGGAUGUUUUCAGCACCCUAAGUUGGAAUCCUGUGUGCACCCACAGGCAUGCCCACUCCGCCCUUUCUUCCCAUCUCUGUGGAUGUGCCCGCUGUGGAUGCUUCACAUAAUGGGGGCAGACGCACCGGCCUUGGGCGCCUUCCCCACUGGAGUGCUGGCGGGGCACAGUCCCCCUGCUGUCAGGAGUGGUGACCAGGGCCUGGACGUCCCACACGCAGCAUAUCGUUCAGCUGACAGACUCCGGAUCUUUUCCUCCCGCCUUUCUCUACUGUGAAUGAGGCCGUGAGGAACUCUCCUGGGGGAAGUUCCGUGGGAGCGUCUGUUUCCAGUUCUUCUGGGCCUGUGCGCAGGGCUGCCGUGCUGGGUCCCAGGCACUCCCUCCUCAGCUUUGUGAGGAAUGUGCGCUGGUCUCCGCGGUCACUGCCUGUUGCCCUUCCUCCCAGCGACGUAGGAGGCUCACAAUGUCUCCAAAACCUCCCAGACACACGCUCUUGCCAUAUUCUGUUGCUAGAACGGUGUUCUUCUGAGACACAGAAACGGUUGAGCAUGUAAAUUGGGCAUAUGCACAUAGGUAUUUGUGUAUGUAUACAUGUACACACACACAAAAUGAGGCUCGGCUCACACAGUUGUGCAGGCUGGGAAGUCGGUCAUCGGCACCCACAGGCUGGAGACACAGGGAAGGCAGUGUCACGGCUUAGUCUGAGUUUGGAGUCCUGGGAAACAGGGAUAGCUGCUCAGUGAGGGUCCAGGCAAGACCUAUGAGGUCUGCCCAGCGGGCAGGCAGGACAAGUCCUUCUUUGUCUGCUUUCUUUUCUGUUCUGCUCGGGCCUUCAGCAGGUCAGAUGAUGGCCCACAACACUGGGGAUGGCCAUCAGCCUGACAGGUCCCCAUGCUCAAUGCCCAUCUCACCUGGAGACCUCACAGCACAGCCAGGGAGAACGUUCCCCCUGGGAACUCUGGCCAGCCAAGCGGAUGCAUAAAAUUAGCCACCAGGAAAAUGUUUGGAUCUUUCAAAAAUAUUAAUUUUUAAAAAUCUUUUAGUGCAUUCUAGCCAUACCUAAUAGUGUGGUCCAUUUCGACCUGUUUUGAGUGCAAACGACAUAGUUUUCCCCGUGUCAAUCAUCUUCUAAGAAUCCCAAUUCUCUAACACAACCCUCCGUCUUUCCUUCAGUUUUGCCUGUAUUUCCUUCUACUUCUCUAACUUACCUGUCAUGGUUACCUGGAGGCCUUGCUGACUUCAGUGUCUGCACCAUGGCUGAGCCUGUUCCUGUUGGCUACCAUUUCAUGUCCUCUUUGAAGCUAUCACUUUUUUCUGGGUUUAAUAAUAGUCCAGAACCCCUUCUCUUUCGCACACCAUUUAUUUCUUCUCGGGUUUGCUUCAGAUGACUUUUUGGUGACCUGGGUUUUAAGACCAAUUGCAGAGAACUCGAAGUUCUAUUUUAAGUAGUUGAAAAUCCAUACUUUAAAGCAAUGUUUUCAGAAGCUGCAGUGCUCUACCGUGGCCUCUGAGUAGCUGUGGGGCCCCUGAAGUCUAAGGGCUGUCCCUGCUUCACCCAGAUUGGAGCUUACUUCUAAGGACUAUUUCAGUGAUCUCUGCCUCCACUUCUCUGUAGUGUUACUAUUGCUAGGGAGAGGAGCAUUUAUUCUACUGUGUAUUUUCAAAAAGGGAAGAAAAAGAUUGGAUCAAACAGAAUCUAUGUCCUUCCCCAAUUUGUGAACCCCCUUCCCACAUUCCCAUCUUAUUAUUUUUUAUGUUUGACCACUUCAGCGCCUAAAGAGGCACCAGUACUAUUGGCAGGUGGACUGACAGCAGAACUGCCCAUCCAGUGAUGAGCCCAGUUUCCUGCAAAGAGGCUAACAUGCUACCUGGGUUCCAUUUGAAGAGCCUGAGCUCAGCAUUAUUUGAGAUACACCUAAUUCUAGGGGAAAGUGGUUAAUCUAGAGCUUUGCAAAGCUUCUGAGAUAUUAAUUUUGCAGGAAAAUCCUUAGACUGUGAGAUUGUAGGACCAGACAGGGACUGUAGAUGGCAGACAGAUGAGGCCAAAGAGACCAGGAGGUUAGUGAGUUCCCGAGCUCUGGCUCAUCAGGGUCCAGGGCAGGUGGGGGGGGGAGGGAAGCGCUCCCUGAGGAGUUACCUGGUGUGUGAAAGUGAGAGAGGGAAGUGCAUUAAAAAUGCACCUUGAGUUUGGAACCAGGUCAAAUGAGCUUCUGAGUAGGAGAAGAAGACACCUGGGUAGAAAGGCUAGGUGCUGCUGGGAAUCACGAGUGACCUGAGGGGAGGCUCCAGGCAAGUCAACCGUGCCAACAGGACCCCGAAUUCAUAGGUACUCAGAGGGUGCAGCACGGGGCUUUGGUGUCUGCAUGCGCUGUGAACUCACUAACAAGUUGACCAGCUGACCUGUCCCCUGUCUCCUGAUCUGUUUAUUUGUGGUGAGAACUUUUAAGGCACCGUGCUGCACUGUGCGGUUCCAUCCAUCUUGGACUUGCUCGUCCUCUAACUGAGACUUUGGACACUAUGCCAGGGUCUCCUCCUCCCCAGCCCCGCCUCCGCUCGCAGCCUGUGGGAAGCCGGCUCUGCCCUGCGUUUCUGUGAGUCCAGCCUUUUCAGGUUCCACAAGUGGCAUCACGCAGUGCGGUUCUUUCUGUUCCUGGAUUACUUCACUUAAUGCCAGGUCCUCCGAGUCCACGCGCAUUGUUUCUAAUGACAAUGUUUCCAUGAAAAAGACAUUACUGAGUGACUCCUCCUGCCUCUCCUGGCUUCCAGGUUUCUGGAGUCCUCUGGUGUGGCAGGUUCUCUGUGCUCUGAGUCUCUCCUCCCGUAGCGCCCCGCGGCAAGUGGCCUUCAGACUUACCACCUGGGUCUGGGUCUCCUUGCCCCUCGGGUUUGGACAUGCUCCUGUUUUCUGCUCCCUUCCUUCCUGUACUCCUCUGAGACUCCCAUGAUGUUUACGUUGGGUCAUUCGAUGAUCAGAAACCUACAGGCCUUCUUCCUGCUUUCCCAUGCAGUGUUGUUGUUUUGAUUUUUAUUUGUUGUUAUUUCUCUGGGUGAUUCUCAGUUCCCUGUUUUCAAGCUCACGGAUUCUUUUGCUUAAUCAAGUCUGCUAUUGAAGUUCUGUUUGGUAUUUUUCAGUUCAGUCAUUUUGUUCCUUAGCUCCAAAAUUUCUAGCUUUUUAAAAAUCAUUUUUCUUUGUUGAUUUUCUACUUUUAUUUGCAUAUUUUUUCCUUUUUUAAAAUCUUCAAUCUGUUUUCUUAUAGCUCAUUGGAAUUCUUUAGGAUGAUUGUUUUGAAUUUUUGUCAGAGAGUAAAGCUUCGUUUAUGUAUUUUUUAUUUUCUAGAAUUGUGUGUGUGUGAGUGUGGGUGGGGGGGUGUGCAUGUCUGUGUUGGGGACUGACCCCAGGGCCUUGCACGUGCUGUGCAGGAGCUCCACUGCUGGACUCCUACCCAGCCAUCUCCCCCAUGUUCCUCUGUUGGUGCAUGUCUCCCUGAUUAUUUGUGACCCUGUGGCAUUUCAUCAGUGUCUAUGCGUCUGAAGAAUUAGGCACCUCUUUCCUUCUUUACAGACUAGCUUUGGAAGCAAAAGCCUUUUAUUACUGAGCUCAUUUAGAGAUUCUGGGUGGGCCAUUUGGCGGGUUCCUUGCUGCUGGGCUGGCCUGGGGCCUGGAUCAGUGGAUGGGUAGGCCUGGCAACCGUCCCCGAGGGCUGGCCUAAUGCCCGAAUCCACUGGAGUGGGCUUGUUUUUUGGGCCUGUGGGGCACGGCUGGGAUCAGGGUAUGUGGGGACAGACCUAGGCCCAUGUCCACAGGGGCUAGCCAGAAGCAAGAGCCCAGGGAGGCCAACUUGUGGCAGGAGAGGCCUUGAGUGAAUCAGGGUUCCUGGCCCGGGAAUGAUCCUGGUGUUGGGUCCAUAAGGAUGUGUCUGACCUGGAGUCUGUGAGAUCUGAAGGGGCCAGCCCAUUUCCUGGGUCUACUGGAGUGGUUCUGGACCCUGGGUCCACUAGAGGGGUCCUGGAUUCUGAGUCUACUGUAAGUCUCAUUCUUGGGUUCACAAGAACCUGGCCCUGUGUCCCUGGAUGCUGUUUCUGUGGAGGCCAGGUUGGGGGCUAGGUCUGUGGAGGCCAGGUUGGAGUCUGGGUCUGGGUAUGCUGGCCUCAAGCCAGGAUCUGCUUUUGCAACCAGCUGCAGUAGCUAUCCUGGAGCCUGGGGCUUCAGGUACUGGCCUGGUCUUCAGAGCCAGGUAGCUCAGCCUGGGGCUGGGGUCAACAGGUGCUGGCCUGGUAACAUGGUAGGUGAGAGCCUGGUGCUCUGGGUACUGGCCAGGCACUGAGGCCAGGUUUCAAGCCUCAGGUAGAAUGAAACCUGAGUCUGCUGGGCUUAGCCCUACGUCUUGACACUGGGACCUUCCUGGGUUUGGGUGUGCCUGGAGCCUGGGACCACAGGGCUUGGCCAGAGUCUGCAUGGAGCCUGUGCCUGGCCUGGGGCAGGCCUGGAGCCUGGGGCUGGGGAGAGACCAGUGCCGGGUUUCACAGUGGCAGGCUGUGCCGGGGUGCAUGGCAAAGAUGGGGGCGUAUUUCACUCUUCCUCCCACGUGGAGCGUCUGUCUCCGUGAAGACUGCAGGGCUUGAAGGGUAGUGAAAUGGCAACAUAGAACCGUCCUCCCUGCCCCCUUCUGUGCCUCUUAUUUCUCUGCUAUGUCUGAGAGCUGCAGUCUCUUACUGGAUUCCUGAUCCCUGACAGGCUCUGAAAAGUCCCCGUCACCAUCUGCUGUUGUUCCUGCACCAUGGUCCCCUGGACUGUUUCCUUGACAUGUUUAUUUGAGAGGAAUUUCCAUACCCUCUUUGUUCCCCAGGACUACAAACUUGCCUCCUGUGGAAUCUUAAAGUAUCUUACAGUUUAGAUCCAAGCCAUCUGUCUCAGCAUCCGUAGCGUUGGGGUUGGGGACAUCGCAUGGACUCGGGUCUAGCUCUGGCUUCAGGAGUGGACGUCCCCAGCUCAUGGACGCAGAUGGCCCCUAAUUCAGGGCAGCAUGUUACUCACACAAUCUCACGGGAGUUCACAAUGUUCUCUGCUGUGUCUGGGACCUUAUUCUCCUGAAGUAUGAACUCUGGGACGUCAGUGAUAGGUUUUGCUGCCCUCUGCAGGUCCCCACCUGACGCACACCUGGCGCACGGGGUGUUGGGGCAGGGGGACCAUGAAAGAUAGAUGCGAGAAUUACAAUCUUCACUGAUGUAGUGACACUGAACUGCACGCACACUACUGUUCAAAGAAGUUUCCACGUGUUACCAGGACUAGGACGGGGAUUGUUAUAUCCAAUAAAAGUCCGAUGCACAUAGAAACCCUUGAUCACAGACAAUCACUGGGACGCUGCUUCCCCCAGAUAAUUUUCCAACUAUGUGAGCUAUUUUCAUGAUUCAAGUCCUCUGUGCUGUGGAAGGACCAAAUUCAGGCAGGAAGGCAGCUCUGUGCACAACAACCACCUUGACUUCGUCCCUCUCCUGGGUCGACCCCAGUCCAGGCGGGGCUGCCUGUAGGAACCAACUUCUAAUAAAACAGUGUAGCCUGUAACCCGAAAAGGGCCCCUGCCGCUGUGACGAAGGGGCCUUCACGUGCCAGAGGUGGAGUCCCAGCCAGAGGCCGGAGGCGCACCAAGGGGGUGGGAGGCACAGGAAGCCUUGGCCCCGCCCAGGGUUCCAGCAGCAGCCAUCACUCUGGGCCAGAGCGUGGCGAGUUCCCCGCGGUAGUCAUUCCCAGGUACCAUGACUGAUCUCAGACCAGAAGGAGGCAGAAGUCACAUUGAAUUUCAUGCUGCUGAAGCUGGGACAGUCCCUGCCAGGUCUAACCUGCCCUAAGAAGAUUUUAUUCAUUGCUUCCUGACAUUUUACAGUCCUCUAAUUCUCCUGUUUUUGUGAUGCAUUGAAGCAUACAUUUAAAAAAAAAAUGGUCAAAAUCAGAACCAUCAUGGUCUUUAAACGGUGGCUGUUAAAAGGAGUUAGAGGAGCUCCAACAGCUACCAACCGGCCCAGGGCCUCCAGGGCCCGCUGAGCUCUCCUGGACUGUGGGAGGGAGGCUGAGAAUAUCCUGACCCAAAGACGCUUGCCACCGGGAGGAGUGAGCCAGAAGCCUUUGACUUUCAGGUCACUCUGCUUGUCUUCUGGAAGGUGGCCCUGCUCUUUAGCACACAGAGCUGUGCUGAGGGUGGCCGGGGUAACGCCAGGAGCCCCAAACCUGGGAAGUAAAGGACAAACCACCCAACUCUGCUCUCUGCACCUGGAGGCUGGGGAAGUGUGCUACGAUGGGGUGAGGGGUCCCUGGCCAGAGCACCUGUGCGUCCUCCAGGGGCAGGGCAGGGACCCCAGCUGGUGACUCAGGCUCCUGGGCUGGGCUGGCUCUCAACAGGAAGCCCCCAGUCCCCGUCCUGCGAAGGGCUUGAGCCCUGUGGCUGAGCACACAGGCGUGGCUCUGAAGUGGGCACUGCCACACCUGGACUGGGAUCUAGGCCAGCAGGGACACCCUGCAGCAGGGCAGCAGCAGCCACCAGAGUGUGCAGGGCCUGAGCGCCGGGCAGCAGCCAUGCCUGGUGUGGGAGAAGGCCUUGAGUAAGGAGAGCACAGUGCAGAGGGGACGUGCUGCUUUUGCUUGGCCAGUGGCUGCACUCAGAUCACCGUCACACUGUGGUGGCCAUCUGCUGAGCACCUUGGCACUGGUGUAGAGGUGAGCCCAUGUACCUGUCCACAGAGGCACACUGCCUGGCAGAGGCCGUGGAGUCGGGGAGCGUGUGGCUCUGACUCCCGUCAGCUGUGGGUGGAUCAUGACAGGCACCUGCAGGGGCACUGGGUGGCAGGCUCUGCGGUCAGUGCUCAGGUCUGUGAGCUCACUGAACCUCGCAGGGGUCCUGCUGUCUUCUUUUCACAGGGAAGACGCUGCAGCACAGAGGGUGUGGGAAAUGUGCAGAGGUCACCCAGCAGCAAAGAAAGAAAGUGCAACAAACCUAGAAGGUUCCGGAGUCCAUGCUCCUAACCGUUCCAUUCGGCCACUGUGCCUGGGGCUUCAGGAUUGAGAGCCUGUGAUAUUAAGACCUACGUGUUGGAGAGAUGCUCUAGAUUGACUCAGUGCCUGGAAUCAAGGCAGACAUCACCUUGCAGCAGUUGGAAUGAUCUGUGUUCCCAGCAGCCAGUGAGUGUUCACGAGUUCCCGAGAACCACGCUGGUGUGUGCAGGGAGCACCUGGUGGACCCCGCCUGGACUGGAGAGCUCGAGGGCAACCAUAGAGCUAUGGUAGGACCCGAGAGCUCUGCUGCGACCAUGUGUGCCCUUCACAUGGCAUCACAAAGAAUGGAAAGGGGACAGAGGAUGUGACCUGGCAGCACAGGCAGGCAAGGGUGCUCCAGUGUGGAGUGACGCAGACUACUGGGGACGUGGAGGUAGGUACAGGAGUGUAGUGGGGGGAAGACUAGUUCUACAAGCCACUAAAAGCCACAGAGAGUGUGGUAUUAGCAUCGCAAUCGGAGAUAGAGCCAUGAAAUAGCAAAGCCCUAAAACUGGUGUGUGUGUGUGUGCACGUGUGUGUGUACGUGUGUGUGUGUCUGUGUGCGUGCGUGCAUACAUGUGUGUGUGUUUAUACCAGGACUAAAACCCAGGGCCUGUGUCUGCUAAGCAAGUGCCCCACCGCUGAGCUAUACCUGGGCCCUUCUUUAUUUUUUAAAAGAGGCCAUUACAGUAUCCGUCUGGAAGAGAAGAAUUUGUGAGUUGGGGAGUUGACAAACUAUUUAGUAGAAAAGCCAAUUCACAGCCUCGCCUUCCCUGUCACGUAGUAUAAAGUCUAACUGUGUGUGAUGGUCACCCUGGGUCCAGUGGGUUCUCCCGGCAUGGCCAUGCCUGGUGCUACUCUGGGCCCUUUCCUGGUUUGGAUGACAGAUCGUGAUCUGUUUUAGUUGGCUUUCCCCUGAUAUAACCAAGACAAGAACACAAAGACCGACAAGAGCAACUAUAGAGGAGGAAAAGUUUAUGGGGCUCACAGUUCCCGAGGUCUCAGUCCAUAGAGCAGCUGCGGUGGAGGAGAGUGGUGGAGGGAAGCAGCUCACGUGAAAAUCAGGACGCAGGCAGAGAGAGCUCUGCUCACAAGCACAAAACAUGUACCCCAAGGUAAGCCCCGGGACCCACCUCCUCCAGCCACACCCCACCCGCCACCUUUAGCUCAGUUAUGCCUGUCAGGGGAUUAAUUCACUGAUUAGGUCAAGAUCUCAUAACCCAACCAUCUCACCUCUAAACCUUCCUGCGUCUCUCACACAUGAGCUUUUGGGGACCCCUCACAGCCACACCCUACCACAAUCUUCUAUUUAAUAGGCGUUACUUUGUUGCAAGUCUUCAAUCCCCAUCAACAUUCUGUCCAGACAUUUCUGCCUGCAGAUGGUCAUUUCUCAGUAGUGGCUGGAAACAGUAGGCAGUUGCUUUGAUGUUUGGAAAACCUCAUCCAUGCUCCAUGAAGCAAUCACGUGACUCUUGAUGGGAUCGUGCACCUCUGCAUGUCUACAUGUGUUCACACAUGAUUCAUCAACUCAGCUGCUCACCUGGAGGGGCCCACUGCAUGCCACUUGGUCCACUUUUAAUGUGAGGUGAACCCUUCCAAGUGGGCAAGUGGAAGAAGGAGGUGGUGAGGGGUGUACUUCCCAAGUCCGCCAGACUCCCACAUCACACCACCAUGGUAACACGCACAAGUCAGGCUCUCGGCUGUGGUUUCCUGUGGAAGUAGAAUAUUAACAAUAGUGCUCACCUAGAAAGUGGUUUCCACGGAUGCCGGCAGCUACUGGACUCCAGGUAUGCUCUUCCUAACUGCAGCACGUUCCCAUUGCACGGUACCGAGCAUUUGCAGAAGGAGAUGUAAGCUCUCAGACUUGGUUACACAUUCUGAGUUAGAGACCUGCCUCUGGCGCUUCCAGGUGUUCGGCUAGAUAUGCUGGAUAUGCUAAUUAGCAUCUGAAUGUCAGGUGCCCACCUUAUGAGUUAAUUUUGAAGAUAAAUACCGUGAUGCAGAUAAAUUUCUCAGUGCAGUGCCUGAGUAGAUAGAGUCAAACAAUGUCAGAUGUGGUGAUCAGCUUCGGAUGCUGAGAAAGGUUUGGAAGAAAAGGAUGAGAUUAGGCAUAGGAGUUGGCAGGACAUCUGAUCUUCACGUAGCAGGUGACAUUGCUGGAAUGCCAAGCAUCUGAUGUCCGUGGAGGUUGAGACUCAUGCUCUGAAAUUGGGACUUAUGAGAGGCCCCUGAGGUCAGGCGUCCAGCAGAGACCACAUCUCCCCAGAGCCUCGUUAGUUUGCUGCAGCAGGAGAUGGCAGCAGUGUGAUGAGCAGCACCCACAGGAACUUCAGCAGCUGCGGGCCGCGGCCAGAGUGCCGUGUGCUCCACACACAGACUCCGCGAGCCCUCGGCCGCCUGACGAGGUGGGCUGGGGAGCUUCGCUUGGCAGUGCUUAAGUUCCAAAUAACAUGUGGGUCUUUCCCGAAGAAAUAAAGAACAUGAGACUGAGAAGAUGUUGCAUCAGAGGAAGGGAGUGCUCCCUCCUCAGCAAGGUGGGCUGCGAAGGGAGUUCCCCGAAAUUCAGUACUGGACAGUAGAACACCACAGAGCCUCGGAACUUGGGAGUCCACAUCCAUAACAGUGAACGCGAAGCCUUGGAGGUUGAGACUCACGCUCUAAAACUGGAAUUUAUGAGAGGCCCCUGAGGUCGGGUAUCCAGCAGAGACCAGCAUCUCCCCAGCAACAAGGGGCCUGGAUCCAACCUCAGAUGCCCACCGACAGAGCCAACACCCAGGGCUAACUGCUGGGAGCCCCGGCUAGGACUCUGCAACACCCCGCAGUGGGGGACACGGUUGGCCCGCACUCCCCCGUCCACCCCACCCUGUGCCGGAGACAGGAAGCUGAGGACCACUAGAACCAGCCCGGACUCCGAGCCACAGCAGCUGUCAGCUAGGUGAGGGACACAGGGACGGUGGACUUACCCCCAGCCCUGACCCCGGAGUUACAGAGCCCAAAAUCAGUACCAAGAACGAAACUUCCCCUUUGCCAACAGUUUUGGCCACCUCAGCAGAAACAAGUCCUUGAUUUCUGCUCUUCUCCUCUUUAUCCUCUUUUUAAUUUGAAAUUGCAGUUUCUUAUUUGCAUUUAAAAAAAUUUUUUUGCAUUCCACAUGAUCAUGUGUGUGUGUUUUCACUGUGCAGACACAAUGAAAUAUAUAUUAAUAUAUUUAUAUGAUUUUCUGUCAUUUUAAUUGCUGUCUUCAUCCUUUAUUAUUUAGCCUUGGUUUGACCUUGAGUAAAUGGAGAGUCUGAAAAUGUGACAGGUCACACCGAGCUCUCUCCUGUAGUUACAGAUGAACAGAACGUUCACUGUAUGCGCAUAAGAGACGAGGAGGUCGUUAAUUAAGAUGUCACCCAUAUGAGGAGCACACAGUGUGUCUGCGGAGACUCAUGGCUCAUGGACUGUGGGAGCACACAGCCUGACCUCCGGGUCAGCCUGGUCUCCUUGGGACUUGAACAUUUUCCAAAUCAGCAAGGUCUCCCCGUGGUUCUCUGCUGGCCUCCUUCCCCUAGAAAACCCUGUCCAUGAGCACAGAGUUCAGACCUGGCUGUGUCCCCAUCUUCUCUUCCUGAGAGGCGAGAGCCGGCCCCCUUCCUCUGAGUGUGACUUCUCUGCUGUCCUUAACCAACCUUGGCCUGGCUUCGCUCGCCGAUGCCGCCUGCCAUUCUUCCUGCCACCAACAUCAGGAAUCUGGAUGGUUCCAGGUUGAGCUGUCUCUCAGGACCUCCUUGGGCCCCUCUGGGGACACCUCCACCAAGGUCACUGUUGUCUCAGCAGUCAUCACCAGCCUCUCCGGGCUCUGGUCAUUGCUCCCGGUGCUGGCCAACGUGGCACGUGCUAGCCCCAGGGUGCUGGGUAAUCUGCGGUAGCCUCGCCCCUCUGUGGUGGACUCCGGAGUCCCGCAGCGUGGAUGUGCUUACUAAGCCUUUGUUAGAGGAGCGCAGGCUGAGGGGGGUCAGCCAUGCCACCCUGGGGAGGGGGCUCUGAAGUGCCUCCUGCCAGCUCCCCAUCCCAACAAGCCCGCCUCACACAGUCGGCCGUUCGGCCCACACUUUCCGUCUGGAUCUGUGAAAUGGUGGCAAGGGGGGACCUGGGUCCAGCUGGGCUCCAGGAGCAGGCCACUGUGCUGGGAUCCCACCCUGGCCCUCCACAGGCGAGGUCAUGGUGCAGCGUGGGGCACACACGACCCACGUGCCCCCACCCGUGGAGGGGUCUGGGGGGGCUCCUAUCCACCCGCAGGAGCACUGAGGGUCUGCAGACGUCCUGAGAGCAGAAAUGUCCCUCCCUGGCCUGCCCAGAGAGUCACCAAGGCCUCCGUCAAGUAGAGGUCAUCGAUUCUAAGUCUAGACAUCGAAAACUUGCAGGUAACUGUGACAGGCUGCUAGAUAAGACAUACUCUCUGUUUCACCCAGAUCAUACUUUUAACCCAAUGAAAAUUUAAAAUGGAUAAAGGUGUAGUAUAUUGGAAAUACCUGGAAGAUGUAAGAAUUUUAAUGACUGCUCAUACCUAAGUAUUGUGAUGAUCAUUGAAUAAAUAAUCAUUUUAAAAUUUAAAUUCAUAAGUUUAAAUGAUUUUUUUAUUAGUUUCAAAAUUUUCAAAAGAUCUUCAUUUCAUUUAAAGGUACUGGUUAUGUUGUUACCAAAAUUUCUUCACAGCUUGUAUUCUACUAAUGGGAUCGAAAAGACUGAGAGUGAAUGUAAUUGUAUCCGAAGUGUAAAACAUUUCAGUAGAUUUUUAUACAAAUAUAAGUACCAGUGUAGAAAAUCAAAAUAUUAUAAUUUCAUACUAGCAAGUUAGUUUUCCUCUAAAUAUUCAAAAACAUGAGAAUUAAGACACAGUAACAUUGGUGAAUAUCAAACAUUCAAAUAAAAAGUUAUUUAGAGAUAGCUAGAUUUUUAAAUUGAGUUUUAUUGAAACUUCUACAACUUUGGAGUUCAGGGUCAUGCUGUCGUUGGUGUUAAAAGCACCUGUCCGUCACACAGGUCAUUCAGGACCUGUGCCCAAGCCCAGCUGGUGUGAGCUGUGAGCUGAUCCGUUAGUGAGGUCCAGGCAGAUCUGAAAAGACCUUCAGAAGCAUGAGUGGGGACAUGAGGAGCAGAGAGAAACAGACGGAGAUGGUGCUCUGUGACGUCAGGUGUGUGAUGGGCCUGGCCCAGGGUCGUGACUAUUGCUAGUAAUGACUACUGGUUGCUGGCAGAAGGGGCUGGUAGCUGCAGGGAGACUCAGCAUUCCUUUUGGGGACUUUUGGUUUUCCUUUGCUCUUGUGUUGGGAAAUCAUUUUAGGACUCAUUGAAAUAAAGAUGGCUAUUCCAUCGCCCCCACAUUUUGACCUAAGCCCUGAUUCUAGACCCGUUAGGAGACUGGAAGUUGAGCUGGUCUCUCCGGCUGUCUUGCCUUUACCUGGAGAAAGGAGCUCUCGGAGGAUAAACCUCGCCUGCAGCUGCUGCAGUCCAAGGGCUGCCUAUUUAGCAAAGUGCUUGUGCUCAGGUGCACUGAGCCCAGUCAUCCCCAGACUGGAACACUGGAGAGAAGGGGAGAAUGGCAACUGCACAUCAGAGUCUCCCCCAAAGCCUGGGACCUCAUCUCUUCCAAGCUGGACAGAGCCUGGGGAUCAGUAGCAGAACCCGGAGAGGCCGGUGGGGCUUUACUGUCCUACAGGAAGUGUGGCCUCAUUGCCAUUCACUGACUGGAAACUGGCAACAGCCACAUCCUCUGUGACUCGAAUCAUCCAGGUGGUCUUCUGGAAAUGGGGAGUGACCAACAGACUGAAAGGACUGGAUCCAUCAGGAAGCCGUUGGGUUUGUUUUGAGGAAGAAAGCUCCUCAUACCAACUCUUGCAAGAAGGUUCAUUACCCUGCGCCUCUUGGGAGCUGAGUUCUUCCUCUUCUGGGAGGGAAAGCCCAGGCCUGGACCUGGGUGGGGGCGGGCAGAGGCAGGGCUGGAGACCCCAUGGGAAGGAUGCCUGGGAGAGACCAGAGGCUACCUGUGGAGGCGAGUUUGCUCCUACCCGGUUCUGCCUCCUCCAGGUUCACCCUGAGGACACCCCUGGACACACCUGAGCUCCUGUUUUCCUUUGUUCAUUUCUCAGAGCGAAGCACACCACUGGCUUAUGGAUAAACAACAGAGUGUCCAGCACAUGGCAGGCGCCUGGGAGCAUGGACGAUGCUUAAAAUCUUACUAAUGCAGCAUCCUCUGAACUACCGACCUUCACGUAGGCUCCGUCACGGGCACGAAUAGAGGAAAAUGUGCAGAACACUUAAAAACAAAACAGACAAACACCUCUGACCUGGGGAGUCCUUACUUUCAAAGCCUGGGUGCACGGGACUUGUCACUCUGGGACUUAUGACGUGAGGAGGAGAGGUUUCCCGCCGACCCCGGUGCUCAGGUGGGUGAAGGCACCAGGUGCUGGAGGCACAGUCUGAAGCAUGUGCCUGUGGGUGUCACUGGGUCAGGCCGCUGCCUCCCACCUGCCCUGCUCCCUUCUGACUCACAGGGGUGCUAACCAACUUCCUCUGCUCUGCCGGAAUGAGGCUCCCUGCCCACCCUGCACCCUGCGGCCUGAGAACCGGCUUCCACUUCAGAGGCUGAGUCACGGCCUUUCUUCUAAAGAUCAUUUCUGCCAGCAGAUUUCCUCAUCCAGUUUCAGAAAGAAAGAUCCACAAGCCAGAGGGCUCGGUUGAGUAGCGUGGUAGCUUCCUGGGCUGAGAUGUGAGGCCCCCGCACUUUAAGGUCAACCUCAAAGAUAUUUUGGGAAGUCAUAUAAUCAAAGAAAAUUAGCAUGAAACUCAAAAUCAAGGGAAAAAUACCAAUGUUUCAAUAUUCCUCAGAGCUGAACUCAGCUGCAAUGUCUGAUUUGCAAAAGGAAGUGGUGAUUCAUCUCUGGCCCUGUGGCCCCUCAGAGUGCUAAGUUUCUCUUGAAGAGUCCCCCGAGGGUCCAAGGGACCUGGGAGGUUCGGGUUAACAAUGUGGGCAGUGCUUUCAUUCCUUUAGCUUCUAUCAGCUAAAAUACAUAAACUUUUACUAACUUCGUGGAUUUCAAAGAUCAUUUUUUUACUUAAGCAUGAUACAUUUGUAUGCAAUUAACCCAUAGAGGCCUUAACAAUGUAAUUUGACUUACCAUAUGCAGUAAAAAUCCAUCUUGGUGAAUGUAUUCAGUUUCAGUUUUUUAAACAACCCCCAGGGGAACUGUAUGUUGACCUUGGGGGUACCCGUGGGGGCCAACGGGAAGGCAUGGAACAGCCCUGAGAUCUGCAGUUGCUACAGACCCUGCGUGACCACCUGCACUGUGGCGGGGAGCAGGAUUCGACCAUGCUGGCGCAGGCCACCCAACGGCCUUGCUGAGAGGGAGACGUGCACCUAACGGUGUGGCGUGUGAAGCCCCUGGGAACCCACAUGCUGCUCACAUGUGUGACCUCCGCGUGCUGGACAGUGAGCCCCUGAUACCUCUUGGAUCUAAAAAUGUCCCCCAAGGAGCUCCUGGUCAGGUGAUGCAGGAGUGCCCAGAGGUUAUGUGACUGGAUCCUGGGAGCGGGGACAUCAUCAGCGGGGAAUCUACUUGAUGGAUUGAUAAUUUCAAUGAACUGUGGGUCUAACAGCAGGCAGGUGGGGUGUGGCCAGAGGAGGUGGGUCACUGGGAUGUGCCCUUUGACUCUAUCUGCCCCUGGCCCCUUCCCCUGUCUCUCUGUGCUUCCUGGCUGCCCCUAGCUGAGCAGCUGUCCUCCACCACACCCUCUGCCGACACUCCUCCUGACCUCAGGCCCAGAGCCACGGGGUCAGCCAACUAUGGACGGAGCCUCUGGAACUGUGACCUGGAGCUCGUUCUUAUAAGGUCUUGAGUUCACUGAAGGCUGACUGGCGGCACCCAGGGAGUGUCCUGCGCCUGGAGGACGGAGCUGCCAGAAAUGGACAGCGCUGAGGCACCCCUCCUGGGGCUCCCUGGACAGUCCUGGGAGGGCAUCCGACGGCCACGGGGCCCCGCAUCCGUACUGGCUCUCCUGCUCCUGCUGACUUCCUGAUUCAUCUCCUUCUCCAGAACUUCAGGCUGGGGAAAGGGUCAAGAAGAGAAUCUACUUCUCACAGCUCUGUGGAGUGGGAAGUCCAAGACCCAGGGGCUGGCCUCUGGCGGGGCUGGCGCCUUGUCAUUCUGCAGCAGGAUGUGGAAGGGCAAGGGUCACAGGAGUGCCACAGGGCACGAGGGGGCCUGACGCUAUUUUCAUAAGGAGGCCACUCUUGCAGGAGCUAGUCCACUCCCGAUGACAUCGACCCACCCCAGAGGCACAGCCCCGCGGGGACCCACCCCCUCUGACAGGCCCCACUUUCCCUGGCUGUUGCAUUGGGGACCAAGUUUGGAGACGUGGACUUUGGGCAACACUCAAACACUGCGUGAUCCGUUGCCACUUAACAAAUCACCUUCAGGCUUAGCGGCUUAAGUGUCUCAUUCUCCAGUGUCUGUGGCCGGCCUUCAGGAAGAGCUGAGCUGGAUGGUUGGAGCCCAGAACGUUUCCAAGGAUCAAGGUUCAAGGUCAUCACCGGGGCUGCCCUGGAGGCCGGGUGGGGCUGGAGCUCCCCCACCCCCACUCUGCAUGUGUGGCUCUGAGCAGGAGCCCUGUUCCCACCCAGGGUCUGCAGCUCCUCACACAGUGGCUUCCCGGAGUGAGCGGUCAGGAGAGGGGCAAAGGAGAGUAAGAGCAGCAGGUCUCCUUACCAAGUUCUAAAAGGGGUGUGGUCACUGCCACUGUGUGCUGCCGAUGACGUAGGCCUCACCUGGGCCCAGUGUGGGGUCCACAUAAGGGGUGAAGGCCAGGAGAGGGGAAGCUGGGUCCUCCUGGAGGUCGGCUGCCACACUGCCUCAGGGCCUCCCUCCUGGUCCAUGGGGUCAUUGCUAUGGACUGAAUGGUCUUGCUCCCUGCUCCCAGAUGGUGCUUGGGGGUGGAGCUUGGGGAAGUGAGACAUCACCCAGGUGCAGCCUUCACAUAGGAUUGGUUCCCUAUCAAGAGACACCAGGGAGUCCACUUUCCCUCUCCCCACCUGGUGGAGACAGCAAGACACAUCCACCCACAGGAAGGGCCUCCUAGGACCCAGCCUCAUCUUUCCUGAGCCUCCAGAGCCAUGGGAAAUCAAUCCGUGUGACUUUAGGCUCCUAGUCUGGGUGUCUUCAGUCUGUGUUAUUUUGCUAUAGCAGCCCAAGCUGUCUAAGGUGUCUCUGUACCUAAGUCUUUUAUCCCCAAUUCUGCUCUUGGAUGGAAGCCAUGCUGAGGCAGUGGAUGGUUUUCUCUUAUCCUUUUAAUGAUGCAGAUGUGUGCGUGAUGAUAAGGAAAGAUUUCCAAAAUACAUCAAGUGCAAAAACAAGAGGUCGAACUGUUCUAGCACAUGCACAAACCUGGCGACUGUAUGGGAAACUUCCUCAUGGUCAGUGGGGUGACUUGGGGGAGAAGAUGAGGAAAGACUUUCUAAUUUUCAUUUCAUGAUUCUCAACAUGAAUUUUUGAAACACAUUUAUGUAUUCCCUUAAAAACAGUUUGACUUUUUGAGGUGGUGAAAUCAUGAGCAAUUUCUAAUUUCUCUAUAAUUUUCUGCAUAAAAUAUUUCAUAGUGCUUUAAAAAAAUAACUUUAUCAAUUAAAAAACACUGUCUCCUGUCACAAUUGAAAUUGUUUUUAGAAGUCCUAAGUCAAAACAGUAUGAGGGCUCCUGUGUGGCCUCUCUCCAGGUGGUGGGCUGUGGUUUUGCCCACCUGGCCUACUCAGACGGGGGUGGAGAGGCAUUCUGGCCUGCAGGAGUCCCUGCUCAGUGACAGGGCACUUCUUGAGACCACUGAGGGGCUGGGCGGCACUAUCCUAACAUCAUGCGGAACCAAGCCUGGUGCAGUGCCUGUAAUCCCAGCAGCUCCGGAGGCUAAGGCCGGAGGAUCGAAAGUCCCAAGCCAGCCUCAGAUGCUUAGCAAAACUAGGAAUGCACAGAGGAAUUAUCACCUGGAAGCAUUCCCAGAAUCUUGUUCUAGUUCUCAGUAACUUUUAAUAUUUUAAAUUCAGGUAGAACUCCUCACCAAGAUCAUCUGAAUCCUGAUAAAGAGCACUUAUAGGAGAACUCAAAGGAUAACGGGUAAAAUUCUCAUCUUGAAAGUGACAGGCAGCCAGGCGGUGAUGAAGCAAAGUGGUGGCUGCCUCCUCUGAGUCUUCAGCAGGUAGAGCCAGGACAGGGUGCCAAGUAGCCUCAGAAUCCUGCCUCAGGGUAGCUCGCCGCUGUGCGCAGCGGCCACGAGGUGGCGCCAGCUGCAGCCGGAAACCACUGGCUCUGCUCUGCAUCCAGGUGGCACCAGCCCAUGUUGCCUGGAUCCCAGAGGCAGCUCCCUGCCUGGGGCUGGAGCCCCACAUUUAACCUUGAUUUUCAAAGACCACAGGAUCAGAGGCUGUGGGAGGGUUUUACUACCGUGAGCAGCAGAGGGCUCUUACCACAGGUGGGUUGCUCAGUAAUACUUACAUCCAAGCCAGAUAUGGUCUACACUGAUCAAUUUAAGAAUUUGAGUUGUCAGUUUCACUAACUGGCAUGAAGCUAGUGAAGGGAAAAAAACGAGAAACCAUCAGUACUUUUCAAGACCAUUUUUUUUUUAAGGAAGAAAAAAUUGUAACUUAAAAAAUAAACACCUUUCUCAAUUACUGGAAUAUUUCUUGAUAAGCAAGUAUAUUUCCUACAAUUUUAUGUGCUAACCAAGUAUCCUUAUCAAGCUUGUGUUGUCAUGGAGGAAGGGGUCCUCCGUGGCUAGGCCACUGUGCCCUUUGAGUGCUCUGGCUGGGACCGUGGUGGUGUUUCCUUCGGCCCGUCCUGGGCAGCGGUCUGCGUGGCUGGUCAGUGGGUUCCUCGAGGCUGGCACGCAGUGCUGACUUCCACUCAUCCCCGUGGGAGUCCACUGCUCCCAGCUUACUUUCGUUUUUUAGCUGAGACACAAACAUGAGGUUAGAUCAACAUCACGUUAAUGUGAUAACAGUCCAACGUGUGAUGUAAACACAGGAAAUGAGCGGAAGAGUUCCCCUCCAGAGCCACCUCGCUGGGCUGGCCUGCCUGGUCUCUGACCUGUCCCAGCUGGCUGGGCCUCUCGGGGCAGCCGUGCCCGCCCCGUGCCUGCUCUUGGUUUUCCCGCAUGGCGUGAGUUGUGGGGCAGAGGGGACGUGGCGGGAGAUGGCUGGCCUGCCUCAAGUGUCCUCGCAGCAGCAGAAAGAUCAGCAACUGCGAGCCUCCAUCUGGGUGGCCACUUCUUCUGCUUCCACACUCUUGACUCCUUUUCAUCAAAUUGGACCAAGUGGUAAAUAUUAAUGAAACAUGUAAAUUUGCAUAGCGAGUUUUCUCGGUUUUGUCUUCUCUAGUAAAAAGUCUCAAACCACAGAGAAAGGCACUCUUCCUCUUUCUCUCUGCCAGUCACUCUUGGCAGGAGAGACCCCGCAUUUUUCUCAUGCUACACCAUGAGCUCUCCACACCUUACCCACUAACCAUUUUCACAAUCGCCAUAAAAUAAACCCCUCGAUAUGUCUUCUCUCCUCUCCUGCAGCUCACGAUGCUUUGUUCCUAGAGGAGAAGUGGGAAAUCCUGGUUCCUGUGGCUCCCAGGUGGAGGCUGCCCUUGGAGACGCUCCCAGAGACCCUGCAUGCAGGACGUGGCGGCUCAUCGACCAGCUCCAGCCCACUGGAGACUCUUCCUUGGACUGGAAAAUAUUUACAUCCUGGGUUCAUCUAGAGAAAUUAAAAGGAGCACUGUUGGAGAAUCGAACAAUUAAAUGUAAUUAAAUGUAAAUGCAAAGAUAAAAAUCCUUAGCUACAUUCCAAGUGCCCCCCUUGGGGGAGACUGCAGGGUUGGACUUAAUGAUUCACAAGCCUGUUUGGGGGCUCCAGGGUUGCCAGUCCUCUGGCCUCUGAGAGUGAGCUCUGCUUCUGCUUCAGAGGAGAGAGUCGAGACUUCACAAGGCAGGAUGGGUCGAAGGAGACCAAAGGCGGGAAUGGAGAAGGCGGAUGAGAAAAGUCAAUUCUCGGUUUUUUUUGGAGUGAAAUACCCUAUGUCAGGCAAUGAGAGUUCACCCUUAGGGUCUUGCACAAAGUCGUUAGUAAAUGUACAUUGCUCACCUAUGCUUUAUAGAGAGAAUCCCUACUGAGAACAGAAGACUCCUGAAUUGGGCUUUGAGGUCAGUGCAAGUUGAAAUCAGUCUUCUACAGAAGAGAUUACAGAUGAGAUGAUGCUCAGCUGGAGAGUGACCUCCCCAUCCAAGACCCCACAUCCUUCAUGAUUUGCAGGGAUAGAGCAGAGGCUUAGGGCUCCUAACAGAAGAUUCUCACAGCAUUUAAAACAGGAACGUCUCUAGUUUACGUGCAUGACUCUGCGUUUGGUGGGGAGAAGACAGUAAUAUGUAAACAUCAGUUACCCAUAAUUAUAAAGUGCAUAAACCAGUGAUUGUGUGUGUGUGUGUGUGUGUGUGUGUGUGUGUGAGCGCGCUCUUGCAGGUUGGCUUGGUUUGAAUUUCUGUUACUUGCAGAGGGCAAUUCUGGUUAUCAUAGGUCAGUCAGGAUGAAGACAGGCAGGAUAAGAGAUUGAGAACAGGAAGGACCCUCAGAGCCGACUGUGUGCCAGCCUCUCUGCCCGUCAAGGUGCAAGCUUAGCCGCAGCCUGCGCUGGUCCCGGGGGAGGAAUCCAUGGGCUUCUCCCUGGAGGAAGGCUCAUGGAAGACCUGUGCCUGUGUCUGGGUUCCCAAGAGCUAUCCAGCACCAGAUUGGAACUCGCUGGUGGGAGCUCAAGUUUUCAAAACUUAAACGAAAACAGAAGAUUAAAACCUAUAUGACACUUACAAAAAAACUGGGGGGAAAGUCGCAUUUGGAAGAUACAAAAGUCAAAGCAAACAUAUAAAAACUAUGAACAGGUAGGGAUGAACUUGUUUUUAAAAUGGAAGCCGAUGAUGAAUUCCAUUCUCAUUACUGAUGGGCUAUGAAGUCGUUGGAGGGUUCUUCCUGUUCUCAUUGUCUUGUCCUGUCUCUUCCCCUUCUGAUUUAGAUUAGGUAAAAUAGUAAUUUUAAAAUUACUAUUUUACCUAAAACCUCAAGAGAGGUUUUGCUUAGCCAGAGUCUCGUCCACGUGGCGUUUGGCAAAGUUCUGAGGCAGCUGCAGGCCGGGAGCACCUCUGGGCCGGUGGCAUGAGAGACGGUGGCCUGGCUCCUGCCACUGUUCCACUGCACAGGGAACAGCACGUGGUCUGGAAUUCUGCAGGACAGGCACCAGCCAGGAAUGUGCAGCUCCACGUGGGAGAGUCCCACCAAGUGCCAGGUUAGUGCAGACUGGUCCUUUAUCACACUGAGAGGAUGCACUUUUCUCACGUUUACCUGUGACUGAAUCAAGUCACUGAGCUUGUCAAAUACUGGUUUGUAUAACAUGCCUGACAGACGAUUUCCUUUUGUCAAGAGCGCUUAAGGUGACCUUGAAGCACUGGUUUCCCAGAGUUUGGGAGCUGCACUUCUGAUGCCAGAGGCGGAGGAAGUCCAGCGCCCGAGGGUCUGCCAGUGGCGAGGAGCAGCACCCCAGGGAGAAGCCAGACCAACCAGAGGGGAGCGUCCUCAGGUGUCCACUCCCUUAGUACUGCCACAGGAUGGACGCUGUCCCUGUCCACUGGACCCCGAGGCCCUGGGCAGCUCAGCAUACCCUGGGCAUAUUGGGGCUGCGUCCUGGUUCCCUGGCUCCUCCUCUGAGCCAACCUCAGCCCUCCCUCCGCAGCCCUCACUGCCUCUCAGGAAUCGGCUGCGUUCACAGCCACCCUCCACACACCUAGCACACUCGCCCCACACCACGUUCAAGAACAGGCUUCUGGACGGUGAGUGCCGGUGAGCAGGUCACGGGCCCUCGACAGGAGGACAGAGAGCAAGCAGGACAGCAGCAGGUGCACCAUUCACGGGUACCAAGUCACCCAAGGAGCGUUUCUAUAAAUACGAAAAUAAUGAGAGAGUGCCCUUUGCUUCAGAAUGCUCUUUGUUGGGAUUACUUCUUUCUGUGACAUUUGCAGUUUCUUGAUCUUACAAAUUUGGUCGAUACUGGUUUCCCUCCUCAUUUUCCUUUGAAGAUUGCCCCUCCUGGAAAUUGUAGAAAUUGAUGUUUUACUCCGUCUACUCACGGAGUAGAAAGGGGGAGAGCCAGGGGGGCCUCAUGUUCUGAGGCAAUGUUCAGGGUAAACAGGAGUCAAAGGCACCACUCUGUGUCACGGUUUUGCGUGGUGACACCUCCAGAAUGGGCAUCCUUGGCCUCUCGAGGAAAUGUAGACAGGUGUUUUCAUGCCCAACACCAGGCUAUUUCUCAUGCCACAGCUUCCUAAAAUUGCCUGAAUUUUAACGACUCAAACACAAUGAUGAGAAAAGCAGCCCUUAUUUAAUAAAGAAUGUCCGCAUCGGCCUCCUUCAUCCUUGGCACACGUCAGGUGAGGUACCAGGCCGCGUCUGGUCCCCCCUCAUGCCAGGACUGUCCUUGACGCUGGGCGCAGAGCUCUGUUCCUUUCUGUCCUCUCAGUGUCUUGCUGCUUUGAGAUCUUUACAACACUCCAGAGUGUUCUGUACAACGUGGCCAAUCCUGGAGACUUCAGAAAGUGAUGUGGGACGGAAGCGUCCUCAAACCCCCCGUCUCCGCCUAGGCCGAAUGCAGAGGGUCCAGUGAGAACUUCAUCAGGAAGGGCCGCUGUGAUGUGGAGGAGAGGAAGGGAGCCCCGCAGCCCGCGCCGUCCCAGGAGCCUCGCACCAGGCCUGGGAGCCAUGAUGAGUCAGGCUUCUCUUCAGCUUUUAGUAGCCAUGAAGGCAGUUUUUACCUACCCAGAGUGAUAUCUGGAAAAGAUCAACUCCUACCCGCCCACUCCUACACAGGGGUGGUGGGCGGUGGGGGAGCUUACCGUCUGCGUGGGCACCGGGCUGGGGACGCUGGUCCCACCGGGACUCCUACUCGAGCAGCAGGGGCACACCAGCUGGGCCAGAGGAGCUUGGCGGGUCUCUGCUCUCUUCUUCCCGGCUCAGGUCCAGUGCAGCCUCAAGGACCAGCCUGGAGCUGCUGGUAAAACCCCCGAGUCCACUGUGCCAGCGCCCGGCGGGCUGUGGUGCCAUCUGGAAUACUGAAUUCAGUUUUCAUUGGAGCCCUCACCGCCCCUUGCGUGAUUCAGGGUGAGACUUCCUCCCCUCCACAUCACAGCGGCCCUUCCUGAUGAAGUUCACCUUAUGAGGUGGUGCGCUCCCGCAGGCGCAGUUACCAAACAGGAAUUGCUCUUUUACAUUCCUUCUUAAAACUGAGCACAUUGGCCUCCAAAUCUUCACAAACAUGACUGUUUGUAUUGUACCAAGAACAAUCUCAAGUGUUCAGUGUAUUGUGUGCAUUUGCUGUGAAACCCGCCCUACGUCUGUGUCCCUGUGCGCACGCUCACUGUCUCUUGCAGACAGGUGGGCAGAGGCAGAGGAGGACAGAAGCCGCACACCACCUAAUUGGCAACCCCUUUCUUGGUUAUUUUCACAAUUCCACCAUGGGCUGAAAAGGCCCCAGGUGCACAGUGGCAGCCAGGAGUCCUGACAGAUGACGACCAUGCGCCCACAGCUUCCCUGAUGGGGCAGGCCCCUCUGUCCCUCUUAGGAGCCCAUCAUCCGUGUUAGCAUGCAGCGUCACCUGCACUUCACCCUUUCAGCAGCCGUCGCUGCCUGAGGAGGACUUCUUCUUGAGCCAUGACCUUGGCACGAGCCUCCUUGGCCUUCUGCACGUUGGGGCAACAACUUCAUCCUCAAGCCCUAGCACCGCAGGCUGGGAGCUGCCACGAGCUCCAACCAGCAGUUGGGCUGUAACUGCAGAAUCUAUGAAAGGAAAUCAGGUCAAAGCCUGAGCUGGGAAAUGCAUGGCUGUGAGACUGCGCAGCCCUCCUGCAUCCCAAGGGACCCACGCAGGACUAGGAUCACGCUCUUGUCCUGUCAGAAUGCACGGUUCCCAAACACAGCUUCCAGUUCUUCCCUCCCAAUCCAACUGGACUUGACCUCAUAAACCUGCGUUCCAGGCUGACAGCCAGAAAGCAGCUGGUGCCCAGGGAACUUCGGGGGGCCGAGCCUGUCCAGCAAGUACCUGUGGCAGCUCAGGAGUCUCCCUGCCUGCAGCAGCCUUCCCCAGAACGUGUGGUUUACGUCAUUCUCCAGACGCUGCCCCAGUGCCAGGGGACACUUUUGUUCAGCCACGCCUCCUGUGGACCCCAAGCCAGUCUUUCCUUUGUCAGAGUUGCUAAGAGGGCAAGGGGACCAGGUUCUGCUCACUGAGACAGUUCCCCCACGUCCACAGUGGACUGUGAUGCUUAACCCACAAUCGUUUUUCUAUUUAACAAUUUCUAAUAACGACACACUUCACUGGACCCUUGCAAAUCUCUUCACGUGUAUUUUAUUGGAGUAACGGCCACUUUCAUGCUGACCUUGAUUCCUCUUCUCUCUGGCCAGCGUAGCUUUGCUUCCUACCUCUGACCCUCACAGAAAGGAAGCAGAGUAUGCGAAGUGCAGGGGCUCUGGUCUCUGACGGGACUGUUCCACAGCUGUCAGGAGGGGGACACAGAGACAGCCCUGGGAUUGGAGGUUUCACUGGGCCUUUGACCUUGGUGCACCUGCUGCUCCUGCCCACAGGCCUCAGCUGCAGCCUCCCAGGCACUGCCAGAGGAUUAACUUUCCUCUGCAUGUAGAUGCAGACCCUCGCAGGAAGGACAGAAAGCUGAGACGUCUUAGUGCCCUGUGUCAGAGGGCGCUGGGGCCCAUAUGGUGGACGCUGACCCACACGCUGCCUGCAGCUCUGGCCUGCUCACCCUGGUUUCCCGCCCGAGUUCCCUCAGUGGCCUUACACCUGAUUCAGGGUUUUGAUGGGUGUUCCACGCUGACGGGCAUGUCAGGACUGCUUUCCACAGAGGGCACCUGAGGCCCACACUUGCCCGCCCAGCACUGGCUGUGCUCGGGUCAGCCAAAGCCAGAGCUGGGCUGGACGCUGCCACCCAGGCUCUCACAGCACGGGACUUCCACUUGUGCUGGAACUGCUUGCCACCUAGAGAGGUCAGCAGGGUUCCUCCCAUGUACUCUCCAGCCCCACCCCUCCCUUCCCCAGUGCAGCUCUAGUCAGUACGUCCACUGCUGUCUCUGCAUGGACCGAGAAGGUCCAUGUGGAGGCACAAGUGAUCCACAGCCUCUGAGGCUCCUGGGCUUCCUUUAGCAAACCAGAGGCCUUGCUCAGCUGCCAGGUGGAGCCACUUCUUUGGAAGACCUUGGACAGCUAGAAAGGCCUCCAAAGGAGAGAAGAGCCACUGCUGUGACCCCUGACCACAGCUGUUGUGCUCAAGGAGGGUCCAGAGUACAAGCAGCUGCAGGAUCUUCUGCCUGACGCAGGGCAGGCAGGGGCAGGUCCCCAGGGCACUGGUCUGGAGAGGCGUGGCCCUGCGUGGGCAGGCAGGCCUGGGCUCCUGGCUGAACUUCAGGAGUAGUUUCAGAAUGAAGCAAGAAGGGCUCCAGGCCUGCUGGAGAGACAACCAGGUGAACCAGGGGAUAGGUCGUGGUUUGUUCAUGAAGUGGGCUGUGGGUUGGACACUUAAAUGUUUCUUGAAAGACAAAAUUAAACCUAGAAUUGAGCUUUAAAGUUUAGUAGCUACACCAUCUUAGUACCCCAUAGGACGGCCUCUCAGCCUCUGCCCUGCAGCAAGUCCCCCAAAGACUCAAGAUGUGAGACAGCCCUGGGAUCGGAGGUCUCACUGGGCCCUUGACCCUGGUGCACCUGCUGCUCCUGCCCACAGGCCUCACAGUUCCAUAGCUCAGAGCUCGGCGGGGUCAGAGGGCAGUGCUGUUCUCUGCAGGGCCAAGGCCGAGCCGUGGAGGGGGCAAUCCUGCUCUGGGGCAGCUGGCUCUAAUCAGGGACGAGGAGGAGGAGGCACCUGGGACCCAGUCUUUCCCCUUGAUGGCAGAAAUGAAAAGCCACAUUGUUUUCCCAUCAAGAGGGGGAGCCCUUCUCCACUCCCGUAUCUGGACCACCCUGGUGACUUGCUGUGGCCAAGAACACAUGCAGAAGCAAAGCGGCACCCUCCUCGGACCUGCCUCAGGAGGUUCCCAUCUGCUCCCUCUCUUUAGAAUACUUCUAAUCACCAAUGAGGUGUCAUGAAACACUGUGCACAGCACGUGGCUUAGAACUGGCUAUUUCAAUAGAGAACCAAACUUACACGCUAUUUUGCAGCUUUGCUAAUUUAGGAAAAAUUCGAUAUCCGUCCUAUGAACUUGUAAAUGGGGCCCCAGUUUUCAGCCUACAUGCACUAAGCACUGGAUUGAAGGAGCGACGGGAUCCGGGUUGCUUUCAUACCUGUUUGGUUGUUACAGACCUAGAGCUCUCCUCUCUGAUAAGGCCCCAAUUCCUUGUGGAGGUGACACCGCUGUAUGACACAACCAAGCAGACUUUAGAAUCACGGGCAUGAAGCACUUCUGCCAGAAACCAGAGCACUUCAAAGGAGCCCUUGAGUCUUCUCAGGAAGUACCACUGACCGAGUGGCCAGGCCUCAGACCUGAGGAAACCCACAGCCGAGCCCGACUCUGGGUUGGCUCAGCGACUCACCCACAGGUCCCCUAGACUGGCCACCUUGCCUAAGAGCGAGUGACCCAGAGUGGACACUCACAGGAUGCUCAUGGCUUCUUGUUCAGCCUAGAAGGCAGCCACACAACUUGGAGAGGUGGCAGAGGAGGCUGGAAGGAGGAGUGGGCAGGUCCAAGUGGAGUAUAUACAGCCAAGGAGAGCCAAAGACCCUGGUCAAGCGGGAGUGGCGUUUCCCACUAGUCCAGCUCCAGGGCAGUGUCCUGGAAAGCACGCUGGCCCACCUCAACUUCCAAAGUUGACCCAGCAAACCAGAGCCUGGAGGUGCGGGUCAGUGAGUUCCUGGACCACGGUCAGCAGGAGCCUCAGGGUCACCCACCGGUCACACCCACUCGCCUUUGCUGUGUGGCCACAAACCCCAGGUUCCUCAGCCCGGUGAUUCCCAGAGCCUGCUGGGUGGACAACGAGAAGCCACGUCCCAGGACAGGCUCUGCCUCUGGAUCAAGUGUGGGUCUCUUCAGUUUUUGAAAACUCAUCAAGCUGCCAACUCACGCGCGUGUCUGUCUGUGUACAGUGCUCCAGUCAGAGGUGCCAGAGAACAGGAAGCCCACCUCUCUGUGCUCCCACACUGGGCUUUGGGCAGAGCUCUGCAUUUGCAUGGCUGUGUGGGAAAGGGACAUCCAGCAGCCACAUCAAGUCUUUCGCUCUCCCUGUGGUCACGGCCGUGGUGCAGUCCUUUUCCAGACCCUGGGAGGGGAAGAUGGAACCCGCUAAAUCAGGCCAAGGCUCCCGAGACGGAUGGUUCUGGCCAGGGACGGAGGAGGCCAGGCUCCCUCCUGGGCUGUGGCUAGGACUUGGCCAGCACAACGCAGGUCGACGGCACCUUACAGAGGGCUGUGUAUCUCAGCAGAAGUCCUCCAUGAUGGCUCACUGCGAGAUUCUCACUCACCGACCGAACCACUGCAUUCGCCCAGGGACCCGCAGGUAAUUGACCCAGCACCUGGCACGUCAGGUUCCACCUGUCCCGGGGACGGGGCCUUGCUCUGAGACACCGCACUGCUUUGGCUCCCUGGGGCCUGAGCACACGCAGGUCGGGCAGAAGGGCUUAGCACAUGAGGAGCACAUGGGCCAGGGGAAACCGGUAGCAGUGUACCUGUGGCCUACCUCUCAUCCCAGCUGACCUUGGAAAGCCUUAGUUUGCUCACGUGACAGUCACAAUGCCACUGCAUGGGAGACAGCAAUGUGUGGGCUUCUGGGACUCACAGCUACGGCUCAAGCCCUACUAAGGAGACCCUGGCUGAGCGAGGCAACCCCGGUGGGCAUUCUCUCCUUGCAGGACCAGCAUUGGGCACUUCUCCCUGGUUCUGGUCUGCACUGACCCUGGUCAGCACUGGGUGCUCCUGUUGACAGGCACUUUGCACAUGGAUCUCCACUGCCUGGGCUUUAUUUCCUCAUCAGCACCAGGGGUAGGGUGGUACCUUCUUGCCCGUUACUGUGAAGAAUAAGUAAGCUAAUGUGAUGUUCUUCAAACCCUAAUGUCCACCAAUGAGUUCCAGCCCUAUCCCUGGGGAUCUCGUUCACUCAGGAAGUCUGGGUUGGGCCUGAGGUUCUGCACUUCUAAGUCUCUGACGAUACCAGUACUCUUGUCCAGACACCUAACUAGAGGAGCAGGGGGAUAAAAAGCACCUGGCACAUAACAGAUGAUCAGAAAUCAUUGGUAAUCAUUAUUCUCAAUUAUCAUCAUCAAAUUCAUAUGUGAGUCUCUCCGAUUUGUGGUUUAAUCACCACACAACAAUGAAAUGUUAUUAAAUUAGAGGGGCUGACUUUACUUUAAACUUGACUUCAGCAAUUGACUUGGCCCAGUAAUUGACUCUGCCCAUAGUAUGAUUGAGAUUAUAUAUUUAUAUCUCCACAGUUUUAAAAACCAGAGAGAACGAUCUGGAAAUCUUCUUGAAUUUGUGGCAUUUAAUUCUCUUGCCCUUGUAGUAGAUGGAGAAGCUCUGAAUAGUUGGAUUGCAGGAAAUAUCCUUAGCCGCACACAGUGAGAUACAUUAUUGCCAAGAGUGCUACUCACCAGCCUCAUCCAGUAAUAAAAUAUUAUGCCUUGUCUGUUACCAGUUCUAUGUGUAGACCAAAUUUCCUGAGAAUAGUUGUCAGGCUUGGAAAUGAAGAAGACAUUUCUCCAUUUUUCUCUCCAUAUGAUAUAGUUUUGUACGUUUGACAUUUUUUUUUAUUUUAAAAUUUAAAAAAAAAUAUUAUUAUUUCAGAUCUUUGACUACUUUUGACUUUCUGCAAACUUAAGCAUCUUUGUAAAAUAGAGGACAUUUCAUUAGAGGCCAAGAGCUUCCUUGGACAUUCUUACACAUGGUGAAGUACACAGGGACAUUGUUUUUCCCAGGGUCUGAUGAUUCUUUGGCAGUAAAUUGUGCAUUCAGGUAUCUAGCUUCUUCAUUGUGCUGGGAGUUCAACUCUUCUGGGUCUUUGACAUUUUGGUUUAAUAUAUGAAAGAGGUAAUGUAAUUCCACAAGUAGAAUCAACCCAGAGUGGAUAUAAUGUAGAAUAAUGUAAAAGUCAUAUUUUGGGUAUAUUUUUUUUCCCAACCACACAGGGACCUUAAAAAAGAUAAUUAAAUUCAUGCUAAAACCAGAGGCUGUGUGUCCAUUUUUCCAGGGAAAACUUGUGCUGUCCUCUAUCUGUGACCCAGACCUUCUGACCUGAAAGGUCUACCUAGGCAUGUAUGGCCCAGUCUCAUGUUUAAAUCAAGGACUCGGGCAUCAAGGGGUUAAAUAAACCUGAUACGUCAUGUGGCCGUUAGAUCAAGUGUCCCUGUAGAGGGAUGCCUGGUUCACAUUAAACUUCUAGAAAUAGACUUCUCUCCUUGGUGCAUGAGAUCAUUUUCAAGCCAGGCUUUGAAUUAUUUUGUGAGCUUGAUGGUGCUGGAGGUUGAAUUUCACCUUUGCCCUGUCAUCUUCUGAGUCCUCUGGGACAAAACAGUGAGGCCCUCUCCUGAUCUUCAGCUGAGUGACCGCUUUCCCUUGAAGUGUCCACAGACCUGAUGCUGUUAGUGGCCGCUCUUGCAGUUCUAAAGCCCCUGUUAUCCCCGAGUGCACAGACCCCAACGCACCACAGGUCAUCAUCUGAAGACCUUCUGAGAACCGUGACUGCCAACAGGGGUCCUCAGAGGUGGAGGCCACAGCUCAGCCUCAGAAGUUGUUUUCACCUAUGGGUUUCCAGCUGAAAACAAGAAGACUGCUAAGGGGAAAAGAUCCCCUCCACUAAGAUGUGUCAGGCUGUCUUCCCAAGCUCCGUCUCAGAGUGGAGGACAGAAGGCCAUCACAGCGGAUCUGGUCCAGAGGCCCGAUUUCCAGUCAGUGCUCCUGGGUGGUAUUCCACACGAGCCAGGAGGAUCAAAGGCGCACUUGAUGUUGGAGACAGUGUGGUUCCCCAUGGAUGGGGAAGUCUUUGAUGUCCCCUGGAAACAGGAAAGCGCCAGUUGUGGUGAGCACAGGAGUCAGAGGCUGUGUGUCCACUUCUCAGGGACUCCCCCGCUCUGUCCACACCUAGGACCACCUUUGAAAGUCACGCUGUCUUUGAGGCUGGCUUGCAGUGGGAACUGGACUUGGUCCCAAGCAGCUGUGUUCUGAAUCACCUAUGUCCCUGGCUCAUCUCUGCCUUUCCAUCUCAUGUGGAAUUGUGUGCUCGUCUCCCGUCCCCAUCCUUGGCAAGACCCAGCUGCCUGCAGAGAAAAAUUGGUUCCCGAGAACAGAGCUGUGAGGUCAUAAUGGUUGACACCACGUGAUCUUUAGGCCUUUGCCGUCUGUGCUGGUGUGAAACACACACAUGCACACACACACUGUGAUGGGGGAGUGACCCCAAAACACACACUGAACUGCCCUUUUAUUUAAAUAAUAAAUCAUUGAUAUUAACUCUUGGACUUGGAUACACCUACUUCUAAUUAUAGGAGCUGGAAUUUGAGAGAAAAAAGCCCUUCUUCCUAGGAUCAGGGUCCACAUUUCCCCUCAGCUCCUCUGCUGGGAGCUGGCCAGGAGACAGAGGCCAAGCUCCCCGCCGCCUUGCC
This 34150-nucleotide long non-coding RNA is filed under the name Marmota monax (woodchuck). The record is from RNAcentral. Lineage: Eukaryota; Metazoa; Chordata; Mammalia; Rodentia; Sciuridae.